Pelobates cultripes (western spadefoot toad) is the source of this 686-nucleotide non-coding RNA. The record is from the annotation of a GenBank genome assembly. Lineage: Eukaryota; Metazoa; Chordata; Amphibia; Anura; Pelobatidae.
GUUAUCUCAUGAUUUAAUAGGUAAAUGGGCCUUUUCCAACUAAUCAAGAAGUGUUUACCAAUCCUGAUACCCGAACUAUUUACUUACAAGUGCGGGUUUUAUAAGUCACUAAUGCUGUCAACGUAUGUGAUGACAUGUCUACACAGUAAUGGUCCUCACUCAUGGUUUUCCAGAUGUGCUUUUUUCCUCAAAUAUGAGUUUUUGCCACUGGGUUUUUUGAACUGGCCCCAGAUCACCGGGUGGACUGGUUCAUGUAUUGACCCAAGGCUCAAGCUACAGAUAACAUGAUGUUCAGUCUGUUUGAAAAUGGUUAACAUGUCAGCUGUUUGAAAUAUUUAACUUGUAUGCUCAAAAGAUGUAUUCAACAGAUAAUUGAAAAAGCUGAAAAUUGACAGCUCAAACUCCUCUUAAAGGGAAAACCUAUGGCACAGAGCAAAUGUGGGAAAUCGAGGUGAAGAAAUAACGAAAGUCCCGCAGACGUUAUUAGCACGUCUGAAUAUACCUCCUUUCAUUUCUCUGGCGCAGGCUUCCCAUGGAUAUUUUCCGUAAGGUAGAUCAUGAUAUGAUCUAAGAGGGGAAUUGUAGAUAUGAAUAUCCAUUUUACUAUCUACCCAAGCUGUUCAUAUAAGGGGUAAUUUGAACCAAGAAUAAAUUUGGAAUUGUAUCUCCGAUUCUUGGAAAUAAAU